CGGCCGUGAAACGCCCCAGCGCCGAUGGUACUUCGUCUUAAGACGCGGGAGAGUAGGUCGCUGCCAGGU
Molecule: ribosomal RNA, 69 nt
Filed under: Ensifer sp. OV372
Lineage: Bacteria; Pseudomonadati; Pseudomonadota; Alphaproteobacteria; Hyphomicrobiales; Rhizobiaceae
Source: RNAcentral